This is a non-coding RNA of Chytriomyces sp. MP71, 72 nucleotides long. NCBI's taxonomy places the organism in Eukaryota, Fungi, Chytridiomycota, Chytridiomycetes, Chytridiales, Chytriomycetaceae. The record is from the annotation of a GenBank genome assembly.
GGGGGUUUAGCUCAGUGGCAGAGAGCUCGGUUGGCAUUCGAGAGGCCGCGUUCUCAAACCCCACAUCCUUCA